CAGUCGAACGAACUCUGGUAUUGAUUGGUGCUUGCAUCAUGAUUUACAUUUGAGUGAGUGGCGAACUGGUGAGUAACACGUGGGAAACCUGCCCAGAAGCGGGGGAUAACACCUGGAAACAGAUGCUAAUACCGCAUAACAACUUGGACCGCAUGGUCCGAGCUUGAAAGAUGGCUUCGGCUAUCACUUUUGGAUGGUCCCGCGGCGUAUUAGCUAGAUGGUGGGGUAACGGCUCACCAUGGCAAUGAUACGUAGCCGACCUGAGAGGGUAAUCGGCCACAUUGGGACUGAGACACGGCCCAAACUCCUACGGGAGGCAGCAGUAGGGAAUCUUCCACAAUGGACGAAAGUCUGAUGGAGCAACGCCGCGUGAGUGAAGAAGGGUUUCGGCUCGUAAAACUCUGUUGUUAAAGAAGAACAUAUCUGAGAGUAACUGUUCAGGUAUUGACGGUAUUUAACCAGAAAGCCACGGCUAACUACGUGCCAGCAGCCGCGGUAAUACGUAGGUGGCAAGCGUUGUCCGGAUUUAUUGGGCGUAAAGCGAGCGCAGGCGGUUUUUUAAGUCUGAUGUGAAAGCCUUCGGCUCAACCGAAGAAGUGCAUCGGAAACUGGGAAACUUGAGUGCAGAAGAGGACAGUGGAACUCCAUGUGUAGCGGUGAAAUGCGUAGAUAUAUGGAAGAACACCAGUGGCGAAGGCGGCUGUCUGGUCUGUAACUGACGCUGAGGCUCGAAAGUAUGGGUAGCAAACAGGAUUAGAUACCCUGGUAGUCCAUACCGUAAACGAUGAAUGCUAAGUGUUGGAGGGUUUCCGCCCUUCAGUGCUGCAGCUAACGCAUUAAGCAUUCCGCCUGGGGAGUACGGCCGCAAGGCUGAAACUCAAAGGAAUUGACGGGGGCCCGCACAAGCGGUGGAGCAUGUGGUUUAAUUCGAAGCUACGCGAAGAACCUUACCAGGUCUUGACAUACUAUGCAAAUCUAAGAGAUUAGACGUUCCCUUCGGGGACAUGGAUACAGGUGGUGCAUGGUUGUCGUCAGCUCGUGUCGUGAGAUGUUGGGUUAAGUCCCGCAACGAGCGCAACCCUUAUUAUCAGUUGCCAGCAUUAAGUUGGGCACUCUGGUGAGACUGCCGGUGACAAACCGGAGGAAGGUGGGGAUGACGUCAAAUCAUCAUGCCCCUUAUGACCUGGGCUACACACGUGCUACAAUGGAUGGUACAACGAGUUGCGAACUCGCGAGAGUAAGCUAAUCUCUUAAAGCCAUUCUCAGUUCGGAUUGUAGGCUGCAACUCGCCUACAUGAAGUCGGAAUCGCUAGUAAUCGCGGAUCAGCAUGCCGCGGUGAAUACGUUCCCGGGCCUUGUACACACCGCCCGUCACACCAUGAGAGUUUGUAACACCCAAAGUCGGUGG
RNAcentral lists this ribosomal RNA (1408 nucleotides) under Lactobacillus sp. Its description in RNAcentral is "bacterial SSU rRNA". It matches the Rfam family "Bacterial small subunit ribosomal RNA", at positions 59 to 1433 of the family's 1533-position model. The record is from RNAcentral. Lineage: Bacteria; Bacillati; Bacillota; Bacilli; Lactobacillales; Lactobacillaceae.